AAAGAGGCAAUAUUUAUCUUUAAAAUUCUCAAUAAAGUUCUUCUAUCUUCCUAUCCAUCUCUGUCCCACUUUGCUAAUAUCUAAUCUUGUUACUUUGUCCUACCUUAGGUGUCACUGAGAAGAAGUAUUUUUCUUUUAAAAAACAUUUUUUUUUUUUUUUGCUUUUUAGGGCCGCAUCCAUGGCAUAUGGAGGUUUCCAGGCCACAGCCACAGCCACAGCCAUGCAGAAUCCAAGCUGCGUCUGUGACCUAUACCACAGCUCACAGCAACACCAGAUCCUUAAUCCAAUGAGUGAGGCCGGGGAUCGAACCCGCAACUUCAUGGUUACUAGUCAGAUUUGUUUCCGCUGUGCCACAAUGGGAACUACAUCUUUUAAAAAACACAAAAAGCCUUUCUAAUAACUACAAUGCUGAGGACCUGAGGUAUUUUGCUUUCUAGGAUAAAAGAGGGACAAAAGAGAAGGCAAAGUAUAACUUAAAAGUUAUAAUUACUGAAGGGAUAAUUUCAUAGACUAUGGGUGGAAUAUUUUUUGUGCCCACCAGUUCAACUACAGAAAUAAUUAAAUUCCUUUAUGCAUAAAUGCAGUCCUUGGGUUAUUACAUGCAAGUUUUGUUAUGUUCUCUUUUUCAAAAUUUAUUUUGAGGUUCCUCGUUCUUUGAAUUUCUAUAUAGAACUUAGUUCAUCAAUUUCUAUACACAUUCCUUAUAGAAUUAGGAUUCAGGAUUAUGUAGAAUAUAUGGAUAAUAUGGGAAUUAUUGAUGUCUUACCAAUAUUGAGAUUUUUUUAUCCAUGAACAAGAUAUAUAAUUCAAUUUAUUAUUAUCUUAUUUAAUUUCUAUUAUUAAUAUUUUGUCAUUUUAGCAGAGAGGACUUAUAUAUAUUUUAAAAAUUGAUAUUUAAUCUUAAAAAUCAUAUUAAAUAUUAACAUUUGACAUUUAAUUUCACACUUAUUAACCUUGUAUCCUUAUUCAUUGUUAAAUUCACUUAUUAGUUCUUGCCAUAAUUAUAGAUGUAUAGGAUAACCUGUACUUCAGUGGAGACAAUUUUCUUCCUUUCUAAGAGUUUUGAAUCCAUUUCUUUUUGUUACUUUAGUAUAAUGGCCUGGACCUCCAGGACAAUACUGGAUAGCAAUUGUGAGUAGGCAUUCUUGCCUUGUUCUUAUGCUACAAGGGAAAACAUGCACACUUGCACCAUUAGGUACAAUAUUAUGUUUUCUGUAAAUGUUUUUUAUCAACUCAAGGGUAAUUUUCUGAGAGGUUUUUUUUUCGGGGGGAAUGGGGUUGGAUUUUUGUCAAAUGUUUUUUCUUAAUCUAUAGAAAUUAUCAUAUGGCUUUACCCCUUUAAUCCUAUUAUAUGCUGAUUUACAUUGAUUUUAUUCAUAAAACAUUGAUUAAUUUUCCUUAUAAAACAUUCCUGGAUAAAACAUACUCAGCUACAAUGUAUAAUCCUUUUUAUAUAUUGAUAAAUUCAGUUUGUUUUUAUCCAUACAGACAAUCUCUGCCUUUCCUUUUCCUUUCUGUCUUCUUUUGUGUUAAAUUGAAUGUUGUUAGCAAGUAGUAAUCAGGAAGUCAUUGCAAUAGUCCAGACAAAGGCUAGGAUCAGGUGGAAUUGGAGAAAAGGAUCAAACUUUAGAUAGAUUUUUGAGGUAGAAAUGAUAAUUCUUACACAUGGAUUAUAUACGUGUGUGUGUGUUUGUGUAUGGCAAAUAAUACUAAAAGUAACUAUUACUUUUACAUAUAUAGCAAGUAAUAUUAAAAUUAAGUAUUUGAAUAAACCUGCUUGGAACAUAAUAAGUGCUCAAGAGAUGUUAGUUUACUCUUUUAUAUACCCUUAAUAUACAUCUUCAACUCCAGCUAGACUAGUCUCCUAACUGUCCCCUCAAACAUACUAUGUUCAUUCAUGCCUUUGUUUGUCUUUGCUCAUGUUCAAUUUCUACCUCUUCCAUUAAGUUGCCUAUUCUAAUAAGUCACCAAUAAAUAAUAAAAAAAUUAGUGCACAUUUAAAAAUAACCAUGUAUACCCCAUAACAUUGUAAGAGGAGCUUUCCCAACAAAAGGGUCUCAAUAUGUUUGAGAAAUAAGGCUAAGAUAGAAACAAAGUCCAUUAAAUCUAAGAUUGUGGGUUAACUGUGGUAGGAAGGGGGCAGUGAGCAAAGCACAAAGCUCUGUUUCUAAGAGAGAGAAAUCAAUCUCAUGUUUAAAAGACUAAUCUUUGACUCUGAGUAUAAACCCAUUAACCCUCAGGAAAAUCUCCUUCCCCAUUCCUCUAGAUUACAAGGCAAUGGCAGCCUACACAACAUUCCCUGCCUACCUGCAAAUGUAAAUUCUUUUCAGUGACCAUCAUAGCUGUUCCUAUGGAGGUCAAUGGAUAAAGGAGCUUCUCCUACAGGGUUGAAACAGGGAACAUGAAGGACAAUGAAAAGCUUUCCAAGUUACAGGUGCAAUACUGUCUGAUGAAUUCAUUCCAUUUAUCGGAAUAUCGAGCCCUUUGCAUUCCUGUCCAGUGGGAUGGGAAAUAUGCUAUGAAUCAACAUUUUGUUUACUAUCAUCCCAUUUUCUGAAUGAGAAGUUUUAUUGGUUAUUUCAGUCUUCCCUAGAUCAUAUACCACAUGCAUUGGGAAUGGAUAAAUUAUCAUUUUUAGGAUAUGUCACCACAAUAUGAAGUAGCUAUCUCUAGGCUUGAUAGCAAGAACAGUAUAUAACCCAGAGAUACUGGACUUGGUUAAGUUUCAAUAAAUGGAUAAGAUAUUGAACCAUUUCCCUUGGAUGGGGGAUGUGAGUAUGUUUCAUGUACAUUUUAGGCUAAGUUCAUAAAAAGGAAAGUAUACAUUCAUGUUGGAUAACCAGAAGGAUAUUUCUUAGUGGAUAAUAUGGUUGCCUUCCAAAUACUCAUUUGUCAUCCCCAAUAGUUGAGCAGCCAUAGACCAUCUCUGAUUAUUGUCAGUUGUCAGAGCAGCUGCAUUUUGCAAAAGAAAUGAAGAUGGUGAGAAGGAUGAAGAUUUGCAGAUAGCAGAAUACCCUACUAAAAUAAGGAUCGCAUAUGACAUCAUUAUUAGUCUUCAUUCUGAUUUGCUUAUCAAAGUAGCCCUGAAGGAGAAAGUGUUCUCUUACAAAUGGAAUGUAGGUCCAGAAAAUUUUGAUAGGAAUCAAGGGGAAAGUAAAUGUGCAGAUCAUGUACUAUUACCAAUAAAGAUGUUUUUAGAUGAGUUCUGAUCUCCUCUACUCUCGUGCCUUCAUAUCACUAACAUCUGUGAUUUUUAAACCUGUAUUACUAAUAAAGUCCUCUAAUGAAAUGAUUUGCUUUUGUGUCUAUAAAUACUAAUAGUCUACAACUGGUUGACAGAAGAGAACAUGAGUUAUUUAUUUGCUUUGUGCCAGCAUCUAACUCUCUGCCCGGAUUAUAAUAGAUAAUCAUUUCCUGACUGAAUGAAUUAAUAAAAUGCUUGGUUAGCUUGGAAGGCAAUCUAGGGAUACAGCGAAAGGGAGGAAAAGAAACUAGAAAAAACCAAGGAUGGGGGAGAGGUUUGAAGUGAUGGGGAAAUACCAAUUUUGCUUAAUAUUUGGCCAAAGAUUGACCUUAGGAGUAAGAAGAGAACUGGACUGAAAAGAUGUGUGGCUUUCCAAAAACUGUCUUUAGCUAAAUGGAUCUAAAAACCAAGGUUCUGAUCCCGUGUCAUUCUAGCAUGUGGCAUCACUUUAGAUUUUCAAAGUUAGCCUUUAGUGUCUUAUUUUCAUUCAGGCAUUUUCCCCUGACUUUGGGUGUCUGCUUUCCAGCAAAAGGUGAAAACUGAGUUUCGUUGCAUAUGCUCAAGUGUUAGUCUACCCUACCCUCAC
RNAcentral lists this long non-coding RNA (3831 nucleotides) under Sus scrofa (pig). Its description in RNAcentral is "lncRNA (ENSSSCG00000055124.1)". Lineage: Eukaryota; Metazoa; Chordata; Mammalia; Artiodactyla; Suidae. The record is from RNAcentral.